CAAUAUGCAGAUGACCU
This 17-nucleotide non-coding RNA is filed under the name Mus musculus (house mouse). The record is from RNAcentral. Lineage: Eukaryota; Metazoa; Chordata; Mammalia; Rodentia; Muridae.